GGGUCGUAAGCUCAGUUGGUAGAGCAGUUGGCUUUUAACCAAUUGGUCGUAGGUUCGAAUCCCACACGACCCACCA
Molecule: transfer RNA, 76 nt
Filed under: Pseudomonas sp.
Lineage: Bacteria; Pseudomonadati; Pseudomonadota; Gammaproteobacteria; Pseudomonadales; Pseudomonadaceae
Description: tRNA-Lys
Rfam family: tRNA
About the family: Transfer RNA (tRNA) molecules are approximately 80 nucleotides in length.
Source: RNAcentral